RNAcentral lists this long non-coding RNA (768 nucleotides) under Hordeum vulgare. Its description in RNAcentral is "long non-coding RNA (HVUL_LNC004983)". Lineage: Eukaryota; Viridiplantae; Streptophyta; Magnoliopsida; Poales; Poaceae. The record is from RNAcentral.
UGAAGAAUUACCUCUUAUAUUACAUAUAGAUGAGACAAUAAACCAAUGAGGGGCAUUUCCCCCAAGCAAUGCUAUUUCCUUUACGAGCGUAACCUUUAGGAUUGAAACCAUUACAAUGUGACAAAACUUGCAUAGAUGAUACGUCAUUCCCAAAGUUGAACAGGCUCUAUGUAAAUGAGCAAUUGAUGUCACUAAGGAGCAGAGUUUUGAUCCAGCUAGACCACUAUACACUUUGUUUUACAAAACCAAUGCUGUCUCAUUAGACGCAGGUUAACUCCAGUCAUUUUUUUGUAUUUAUCCACCGCAAAAAAAAAUGUUGUAUUUAUAGGCCAUGUGGGGACAAUAGCAUAUAAACUGAGUGUUCCAGCACGGGCUCAUAUUUGCAAUCCUUUUCAUGUGAGUCUUUUGAAGUGCUUCCAUGUUGAUCCAUCAGAUGUGCCACCAGCAUUAACGUUGGUUUAUCACGUUCAGAUAAUCCUGAGGCAAAUGAAGUCUUGGGGCAUGGUAGCAAGUGGUGUUCAGAUUUUUUUUGGUACAAUGGGAAGAAAAGAUCAAGGAUUUUCAGCUCAAAGACGAGCGGCUUGAGGAGGCGGGGAGUAAUGUCAUAUGCACAAAAAUAGUUCCAAGAUGUACAUAUUUGCAAGCAAACUCCAAAAGUGGAAUAGGUUCCAGUUGAGUUACCUGCUAUCUUCUUCCAGUGGAUCUGAACAUUUUCAUACACCUUUUGCUCAUCGAAGUGGCCUAUAUAAAAUUCUUUAGAAUUUUCUU